CAGUCGCCGCGGGAAUACGUAGGGUGCGAGCGUUAAUCGGAAUUACUGGGCGUAAAGCGUGCGCAGGCGGUUUUGUAAGACAGGCGUGAAAUCCCCGGGCUCAACCUGGGAAUGGCGCUUGUGACUGCAAAGCUAGAGUGCAGCAGAGGGGGAUGGAAUUCCGCGUGUAGCAGUGAAAUGCGUAGAUAUGCGGAGGAACACCGAUGGCGAAGGCAAUCCCCUGGGCCUGCACUGACGCUCAUGCACGAAAGCGUGGGGAGCAAACAGGAUUAGAUACCCCAGUAGUCCCUGUCUCUUAUAC
Molecule: ribosomal RNA, 301 nt
Filed under: uncultured bacterium
Lineage: Bacteria
Description: partial 16S ribosomal RNA
Rfam family: Bacterial small subunit ribosomal RNA
Source: RNAcentral